GGACCCGCACAAGUAGUGGAGCAUGUGGUUUAAUUCGAAGAUACGCGCAGAACCUUACCAACACUUGACAUGUUCGUCGCGACUCUAAGAGAUUAGAGUUUUCGGUUCGGCCGGACGAAACACAGGUGCUGCAUGGCUGUCGUCAGCUCGUGUCGUGAGAUGUUGGGUUAAGUCCCGCAACGAGCGCAACCCUCACUUUUAGUUGCCAUCAUUAAGUUGGGCACUCUGAAAGAACUGCCAGUGAUAAGCUGGAGGAAGGUGGGGAUGACGUCAAGUCCUCAUGGCCCUUACGUGUUGGGCUACACACGUGCUACAAUGGUAUCUACAACAGGAAGCAAAACUGCGAAGUUAAGCAAAUCCUUAAAAGAUACCUCAGUUCGGAUUGCACUCUGCAACUCGAGUGCAUGAAGCUGGAAUUACUAGUAAUCGCAUAUC
RNAcentral lists this ribosomal RNA (435 nucleotides) under uncultured bacterium. Its description in RNAcentral is "bacterial SSU rRNA". It matches the Rfam family "Bacterial small subunit ribosomal RNA", at positions 917 to 1350 of the family's 1533-position model. The record is from RNAcentral.